CGACUCUCGGCAACGGAUAUCUCGGCUCUCGCAUCGAUGAAAAACGUAGCGAAAUGCGAUACUUGGUGUGAAUUGCAAAAUCCCGUGAACCAUCGAGUCUUUGAACGCAAGUUGCGCCCGAAGCCGUCAGGCCGAGGGCACGCCUGCCUGGGUGUCACG
RNAcentral lists this ribosomal RNA (159 nucleotides) under Acacia leptocarpa. RNAcentral describes it as "5.8S ribosomal RNA". It matches the Rfam family "5.8S ribosomal RNA". Rfam says of the family: 5.8S ribosomal RNA (5.8S rRNA) is a component of the large subunit of the eukaryotic ribosome. It is transcribed by RNA polymerase I as part of the 45S precursor that also contains 18S and 28S rRNA. Functionally, it is thought that 5.8S rRNA may be involved in ribosome translocation. The record is from RNAcentral. Lineage: Eukaryota; Viridiplantae; Streptophyta; Magnoliopsida; Fabales; Fabaceae.